GAUGAACGCUGGCGGCGUGCCUAAUACAUGCAAGUCGAGCGAACGGACGAGAAGCUUGCUUCUCUGAUGUUAGCGGCGGACGGGUGAGUAACACGUGGAUAACCUACCUAUAAGACUGGGAUAACUUCGGGAAACCGUAGCUAAUACCGGAUAAUAUUUUGAACCGCAUGGUUCAAAAGUGAAAGACGGUCUUGCUGUCACUUAUAGAUGAACCGCGCUGCAUUAGCUAGUUGGUAAGGUAACGGCUUACCAAGGCAACGAUGCAUAGCCGACCUGAGAGGGUGAUCGGCCACACUGGAACUGAGACACGGUCCAGACUCCUACGGGAGGCAGCAGUAGGGAAUCUUCCGCAAUGGGCGAAAGCCUGACGGAGCAACGCCGCGUGAGUGAUGAAGGUCUUCGGAUCGUAAAACUCUGUUAUUAGGGAAGAACAUAUGUGUAAGUAACUGUGCACAUCUUGACGGUACCUAAUCAGAAAGCCACGGCUAACUACGUG
RNAcentral lists this ribosomal RNA (496 nucleotides) under uncultured bacterium. Its description in RNAcentral is "partial 16S ribosomal RNA". It matches the Rfam family "Bacterial small subunit ribosomal RNA", at positions 28 to 507 of the family's 1533-position model. The record is from RNAcentral.